This 1524-nucleotide long non-coding RNA is filed under the name Pogona vitticeps (central bearded dragon). RNAcentral describes it as "lncRNA (ENSPVIG00000006828.1)". The record is from RNAcentral. Lineage: Eukaryota; Metazoa; Chordata; Lepidosauria; Squamata; Agamidae.
CAUCUCCCUCACAGUGCACUGCAUUAAAUUAUUUGAAGUUCUUCGUGGUUGAUUCUUUCUUUCUUUCUUUCUUUCUUUCUUUCUUUCUUUCUUUCUUUCUUUCUUUCUUUCUUUCUUUCUUUCUUUCUAUUUAUUUAUUUAUUUAUUUAUUAUUCCCUCCUAUCAAUACUUGACUUUAUUUUUACUAUAAUUUUCUGUUUUCCCAUCUUGAGCACUACUAAGUAUUACUAAUUACUAUUGUUUAGAAUUAUUUCUAAUUGUUUAAUUGUUUAAUAAGUAAAUGAGAAGGACAAUGACAAUAACUAUAACAAUAAUAACCAUUUAUUACUAUAUUUAUUUACUACCCUUUCAUGCAGUAAUAUUAUUAAGGCACACAAUUAUUCUAAUUUAAAGUACCAACACUUUGUUUAAAUGAGAAAUUGCAGACAUCUAAAACCACUUUUACAAGUGGCUGAUAAAGGAGAAAAGGGGAGGGGUUACUAAUAAAAAGCAGAUGAAAUAGACAAGCACCGAAUGUCCAACGAAUAGCAGGUUGGGAGACCAAUCAGGAAAAAAAGGCACGAGGAGGCUUACUCCUCCUCAGUCCCUACAAGAGCGAGUUGCCCUUCCUCCUCCUCCUCCUCCUCCUCCUCCUCCUCCUCGGUCCAUCCCAGGAUCUGCCCCCCCCCUUCCAAGCUGGAGAUGGUUAGGAGUGGGGCUUUUCAUUCCCCCAGCUGGCAAGCGGGGGGGGGGGGGUGAAAUAGUUAGGGUCCUCCAGCAUGAAGCUACCAGUAGAGGGAGCCAAGAAGUUGUUGGCCCGGUGAGUAGAAGAAUUGUCUAGCAUGCUUGGUCUCAGAGUGCCUUUCAUACUGACGUUCUAGCCUUCAGAAAUCAGAGGGCAGGUCCUCUAGGCCCGCCUCUUCCUACAAGUCUUCAUGGGGACCUUCUAGCCCCUUGCAAUUGGAGAGCAGGUCCUCCAGGCCCACCUAUUCCUGUGCUGUUGCCAUGGCAAUACAAGGACGCUAAAGGCUGGUCCGUUUGGCUUUUCUUCCCCGCCAUGUCUUCCCUAUUUUUUGCCCCACCUGCCCCUGCGGCUUCCAGAGGCUGUUCCGGCUGCCCGCCGGUGGGAGACCCCGGCCUGUACAGUACGCUGCGCCGCCCGCACCGGGGACGACAGCUAGCGCGCAUGUGCUCUACAGCCACGGCGAGGUCACUCUCAGCAGCCUGAGCCUGAGGACCAGAACACGCAGAGUUAUGGUAACGUGCUCUGUAUAGAGGACACGGAGCAGUUUCUAGUGUGGGUGAGGAGGCCGAUCCGAGAGUGACAAUCCCUUCGACACUGAAGACAAAUCCAAUCUGCCCCCUGUCCAGCUCCCUGGUUUUGCUGCUUUUGUGACUUCCUUUUUGCCUCGGCCUGCCGGACAAGGGUCUUUUCAAAUUGGGAGAGGCCGUGAUGCAUCGCCUGCCUCCAGGCUGAACACUCAGAUGUCAGGGUUUUAGAGAGGCAUGUUAAAUAAACAAAAUAUUAUAUUAAAGGUAAAAACA